GACGAACGCUGGCGGCGUGCCUAACACAUGCAAGUCGAACGGAAGUAAGUGCUUCGGUAUUUACUUUAGUGGCGAACGGGUGAGUAACGCGUGAGGAACCUGCCUUUCAGUGGGGGACAACAGUUGGAAACGACUGCUAAUACCGCAUGACGCUUCUUAGGGGCAUCCCUGAGAAGUCAAAGCUUUAUGUGCUGAAAGAUGGCCUCGCGUCUGAUUAGCUGGUUGGCGGGGUAACGGCCCACCAAGGCAAUGAUGCGUAGCCGGCCUGAGAGGGCGAACGGCCACAUUGGGACUGAGACACGGCCCAA
Molecule: ribosomal RNA, 308 nt
Filed under: uncultured bacterium
Lineage: Bacteria
Description: bacterial SSU rRNA
Rfam family: Bacterial small subunit ribosomal RNA
Source: RNAcentral